RNAcentral lists this ribosomal RNA (1324 nucleotides) under metagenome. RNAcentral describes it as "bacterial LSU rRNA". It matches the Rfam family "Bacterial large subunit ribosomal RNA", at positions 1561 to 2925 of the family's 2925-position model. The record is from RNAcentral.
AGUGGAUGGGGAGCAACCUAGUUGUGCGUGUGUAAAGGUAGUGCCAAGAAAAGCGAUGAUCAUGUUGAAAAUCAAUUCCCGGUACCCGAAACCGACACAGGUGGGCAAGUAGAGAAUACUAAGGGGCGCGAGGUAACUCUCUCCAAGGAACUCGGCAAAAUGACCCCGUAACUUAGGGAGAAGGGGUGCCACCGAGAGGUGGUCGCAGUGAAGAGGCCCAGGCGACUGUUUAGCAAAAACAUAGGUCUCUGCAAACUCGAAAGAGGAGGUAUAGGGGCUGACGCCUGCCCAGUGCCGGAAGGUUAAAGAAGUUGGUCAGUCUUAGGAUGAAGCUAGCGACUGAAGCCCCGGUGAACGGCGGCCGUAACUAUAACGGUCCUAAGGUAGCGAAAUUCCUUGUCGGGUAAGUUCCGACCCGCACGAAAGGCGUAACGAUCUGGGCGCUGUCUCGGAGAGAGGCUCGGCGAAAUAGGAUUGUCUGUGAAGAUACGGACUACCUGCAUUUGGACAGAAAGACCCUAUGAAGCUUUACUAUAGCUUGGAAUUGUGUUCGGGCUUCCUGUGCGCAGGAUAGGUGGGAGGCGUAGAAGGUAUUCUUGUGGGGAUACUGGAGCCAACGGUGAGAUACCACUCUCAGGAGGCUAGAAUUCUAACUUAAUUAAGGACAGUUUCAGGUGGGUAGUUUGACUGGGGCGGUCGCCUCCAAAAAGGUAACGGAGGCGUACAAAGGUUCCCUCAGACUGGUUGGAAAUCAGUCGAAGAGUGCAAAGGCAGAAGGGAGCUUGACUGCGAGAAGUACAGUUCGAGCAGGGUGGAAACACGGUCUUAGUGAUCCGACGGUGCUGUGUGGAAGGGCCGUCGUUCAACGGAUAAAAGUUACUCUAGGAUAACAGGCUGAUCUCCCCCAAGAGUUCACAUCGACGGGGAGGUUUGGCACCUCGAUGUCGGCUCAUCGCAACCUGGGGCGGAAGUACGUCCCAAGGGUUGGGCUGUUCGCCCAUUAAAGCGGUACGUGAGCUGGGUUCAGAACGUCGUGAGACAGUUCGGUCCAUAUCCGAUGUAGGCGUGAGAAUAUUGAGAGGAGCCUUCCUUAGUACGAGAGGACCGGGAAGGACGCACCGCUGGUGUACCUGUUAUGAUGCCAAUUGUAAACGCAGGGUAGCCAAGUGCGGAGAGGAUAACCGCUGAAAGCAUCUAAGUGGGAAGCCCACCUCAAGAUGAGUAUUCUGGUGUAAGGUCACGGGAAGACGACCCGUAAAUAGGCACGAGGUGGAAGUGCAGAGAUGUAUGAAGCCGAAGUGUACUAAUAGACCGUCGGCUUGAC